AGUACUUACCGAUCUGUUCCAAAACUUUUCUUUUCGGACCACUACGGCUGCUGUACUCUCGUCCAUGAUCUUCUCCUCUCCGUUAUUCUCUAUUUCUCGGAGACUUUUUGGUGCUUUUGUUGUGCUACGUUCUCCUUCACUGAAUAAUGACAAUUUCUGAUGUUCUUAUUGGUUGUUUUCACCUUUGAAGCACUCUCUACAGAGCUAUACCAAAAAUUCUCAGGU
Coffea eugenioides is the source of this 225-nucleotide long non-coding RNA. RefSeq lists it as uncharacterized. Lineage: Eukaryota; Viridiplantae; Streptophyta; Magnoliopsida; Gentianales; Rubiaceae. The transcript is spliced from 3 exons. The record is from RefSeq and is a predicted model, not a curated record.